CUUCAAUUUGUGGCAUCAGGGUUUAGCAGUUUCUUUCCCAGUCUAAAAAGUAGUACUUUUUGAGAGGGAGCAUAAAAGACAUAAUAAAUUUAAUAAAAUUAAUUCAAGCAUAGGUAUUCAGUAAAUAUAAAGGAGAAGGCAUCCAACAUAAAAAGACCUUUUAAUCUAGAAAGCAAAAGCCAAAUUACAAUAAUAUGAAUAAUAAGCAAAUUAAUAGAUAGAAAGCAUUCUCUUUCCAAACUGAGAAUAUGGUUUAGCUCAUAUGCCUCAGUGGGAUGCAUGGGUCUUUGAGGACCUGGGAGGGGGGCAGCUAAAUUGCUGGCAAGGUGAAAGCUAGAAAUCAAUAAUCAGCCCUGAUUCCCAGCAGCUGACUGAAAGGUCUUUUAGGAAGCCACAGAGAUAGCUGGUCCCCUGGAGGGGGCAGGAAGGUCUUGGUGCCUAGUUUACAAGAGAUUACCACACUCCAGAGACACCUGUUGUAACUGGAAACAGCCACUGUUAUGUGCUAACCUGAAGUAUCUGAGAAGUUUCACACCCAAAAGGAGAAACACCCUCUGCCAUCACAGCCCUCAACCAGACUGCUGUUCUAAGGUCAGUCAUAUGUACUAGGAGAUGGUGUGUAUGGAAUAAUUUGCUUGUGGUCUGUUUUCCACCUUCUAGGCAACUGUAGUUACACGACAAAAUGUAGGACGUGUUUUUAAAAAUAGAGGUUAUAAUGUUAUUUGAAGAUCAGU
RNAcentral lists this long non-coding RNA (734 nucleotides) under Anser brachyrhynchus (Pink-footed goose). Its description in RNAcentral is "lncRNA (ENSABRG00000000751.1)". The record is from RNAcentral. Lineage: Eukaryota; Metazoa; Chordata; Aves; Anseriformes; Anatidae.